Molecule: non-coding RNA, 86 nt
Organism: Geopyxis carbonaria
Lineage: Eukaryota; Fungi; Ascomycota; Pezizomycetes; Pezizales; Tarzettaceae
Source: the annotation of a GenBank genome assembly
GCGAUAAUAGCUCAGUUGGGAGAGCGUCAGACUGAAGUCCACUUCUCGAAAUCUGAAGGUCACCCGUUCAAUCCGGGUUUGUCGCA